Acinonyx jubatus (cheetah) is the source of this 3513-nucleotide RNA transcript. It is a transcript of the gene named MUS81 structure-specific endonuclease subunit, with no coding region annotated. The record is from RefSeq and is a predicted model, not a curated record. The transcript is spliced from 16 exons. Lineage: Eukaryota; Metazoa; Chordata; Mammalia; Carnivora; Felidae.
GAGGGUCUGGGUGGGGCCCGUUCCGAAGGCUGGUUUGGGCCGGGAGGGGCGAGGGGGUGAAAGGGUAUAGAGAAAGCUCUCAGCACCAACCACUUGGAGUACUGCAGGGGCGGGGAGGGCAGCGGGAGGCUCGUCUAGUUAGUGCCCCGCUUGGGACCACGUGAUUGGAGAGGUUCCGCCCUAACCCUUUCGAGUCAGGUGUUCGAAUCCCGUCUCCAGAACUGGCGGCGUCCCAUUCCCAUCGGCGCGAGGUGCCAGAGGACCCGCCCUGGGGCUCAUGGCAGCGCCGGUCCGCAUGGGCCGGAAACGCCCGCUGCCGGUUUGCCCCAACCCGCUCUUCAUACGCUGGCUAACCGAAUGGCGGGACGAGGCAGCCAGUAGGGGGCGCCGAACGCAAUUCGUGUUUCAGAAGGCGCUGCGCUCCCUCCGGCGGUACCCACUGCCUCUGCGCAGCGGCAAGGAAGCAAAAAUCUUACAACACUUCGGAGACAGGCUCUGCCGUAUGCUGGAUCAGCGGCUGCAGCAGCACAGAGCAUCAGGCGGUGACCAUGCUCCAAGUUCACCAUCUGGAGAGAAGAGUCCAGCCCCAGAAGGGCCACCUGCCAGAGCCCAGGACUCUUCCGUGCCAGUUUCAGCCCAGCCCAAAGCAGGAGGCCGUGGCAGCUACCGGCCCACUCGGCACUCGGGAGCCCGGGCAGUCCUGCUUCUGCUCUACAGGGAACACCUGAAUCCUAGUGGUCAUGGCUUCCUGACCAAGGAGGAGCUUCUGCGGAGGUGUGCCCAGAAAACUCCCAGGGCGGCCCCUGGGAGUGCUCGACCCUGGCCAGCCCUCCGCUCCCUCCUCCACAGGAACCUGGUUCUCAGGACACACCAGCCAGCCAGGUACUCAUUGACCCCUGAGGGUCUGGAGCUGGCCCAGAAGCUGGCUGAGUCAGAGGGCCUGAGCUCACUGAAUGUGGGCCUCGGACCAGAGGAGCCCCCUGGGGCGGAGCCAGAAGAGCCAGGAGCAGCCUCCGCUGAGCUUGGCGCCAGCGAAGGGAGUGCCCAGCAGCUGUCACUGGAGCUCAGGCCUGGAGAGUACAGGGUGCUGUUGUGUGUGGACAUCGGUGAAGCCAAGGGGGCCAGGCACAGGCAAGAGCUGCUCCUCGAGCUACAGCGGCUGCGUGUCACCCACACGGUGCGCAAGCUGCAUGUUGGGGACUUCGUGUGGGUGGCGCAGGAGACCGAGCCCGGAGACCCAGCGAGACCUGGGGAGCUUGUCCUGGACCACAUCGUGGAGCGCAAGCGGCUGGACGACCUGAACAGCAGCAUCAUGGAUGGCCGCUUCCACGAGCAGAAGUUCCGGCUGAAGCGCUGUGGCCUGGGGCACCGGAUAUACCUGGUGGAGGAGCACUGCUCGGCGAACAACCUCAGCCUUCCAGAGAGCACGCUGCUGCAGGCUGUCACCAACACUCAGGUCAUUGACGGCUUCUUUGUGAAGCGUACAGCGGACAUUAAGGAGUCGGCUGCCUACCUGGCCCUCAUGACGCGGGGCUUACAGAGACUCUACCAGGGCCAUACCCUACGCAGUCGCCCCUGGGGAACCUCUGGGGACCCUGAAUCGAGGCCUGGGCCCUCUCCAGAUCCUCUCUGCUCACUCCUCACCUUCAGUGACUUCAACGCGGGAGCCAUCAAGAACAAGGCCCAGUCAGUGCGCGAGGUGUUCGCCCGACAGCUGAUGCAGGUGCGCGGUGUGAGUGGGGAGAAGGCAGCAGCCAUAGUGGACCGGUACAGCACCCCUGCCAGCCUACUGGCCGCCUAUGACGCCUGUGCCCACCCCCCCCCCCCCCAGCCUACUGGCCGCCUAUGAUGCCUGUGCCACCCCCAAGGAACAGGAGUUGCUGCUGAGCACCAUCAAGUGCGGCCAACUGCAGAGGAAUCUGGGACCCGCUCUGAGCAGGACCUUGUCCCAGCUCUACUGCAGCCACGGCCCCCUGACCUGAGCCAUGCCACGAGGCCAACUCCAGCCCCCACCUUCACAGGCUAGCCAGCCUUUUAAUCGGAAUCUUUUGGGCUACGAUAAAAGUAUAACUAUUUGCAGCCUUAUGUAUUAUGAAGGUGGUGCCAGGCUCCAGGGGCCUUGUGAAAUAUCCAGGCAGGAACUGGGGAGACCAGCAGGUCCAGUGAUUUUUAAACCGAGCUCCUCAGGACCCUAGGGCUCCCUGGUGGAGCACUGAGACCACCCGGGAGAUGGAGUAAGCAAGGCAUUGCAGCUUGGAAUCUAGUCCUAGGUCAUCAGACUUCCCUGAUCAAAUAAAAUUUCCUUUGAUGAGAGGUUCUGUAGCUUGGAAAAAAAAAUUUGGAAAGCACUCAUAGUCUAAUUGCCUCAUUUUAUGGAUUGGAAGACAGAGGCCCGGGAAGCCACGAGGGUCGAGCCAAGUUGACAGUUUGAGGCCAAGCUGGGAUUGAAACCCAAGGCUUCCAUCGUCUACAGUGGGGUUUCCCAGGCCCCCUGCAGACCAGUCAAACCCCAAUUUCUGGGCUGGGUCCUGGAGUCUGUAGCCUUAUUACCUCCUACCUUCUCAGAGCGAUUCUAAUGUGCGUGGUACCUAGACCAAUCCUGGCUUGGGGCUGCAGUUCCCAGUUCUUAUCCAUGGGGCCCCCUCAGCCUGAACAGAGACUCCCCCCCCCCCCCCCCCCGUGGGUGGUGGACCCUCCUCCCACAGCCUGGUCCCUUCCCCGGUCUGGGGUUCACUACAGUGUGACCCACCCCCCUCAGCCACCAGGACUCCUUCUUUCUCCCUUUAUUGCCUUUCUCUUUCUACUCUUCACAACAGCAUCUUCCCUUUUAGCCGAACACAGUCAUCCCUGAGCCCCCGGCUCUUCGGCUACAGGAAACCUCUCCCUCCCUGAGGGCUCCCCACCCACACCUCAGAAAGUGUAGGCCCCCACGAAGACGGUGAGUCUCAGUACAGAGCUGGCCCGGUAGCUCAUGAGGGAGUUCAUGGUGACCAUCUCGAGGUCCAGCACGUACUCCCGGGGGCCUGUCACAGGCCGGGCGAGGACCAGCAUGGCGCUGACAUUGUUGAUUUGCUGCAGGGCACAGUGGGUGGGGGGACAUGCAGAUUGUGUCAACCUACGUGCCAAGAUCCUGCCCUGGCAUCCCCUCCCUGUCCCUUUUCCUGCACCCACAACCAGUUUGCUUUGAAGUAGAAAGCCCUAGCCAGGCUGGGACUCCAGGCCCUCAUCUGGCUCUGUGACACCAUUGACAUCUCCUCUCUCGUGCCCCCAGGCUCCUGCCCUCAGAGAUCUCCCGCUGGUGGGGCGCCUGGGUGGCUCGGUGGUUUAAGCGUCUGACUCUUGGGUUUGGCUCAAGUUGUGAACUCACAGUUCGUGGGUUCGAGCCCUGCAUUGGGCUUCACGAAGACAGCGCGGGGCCUGCUUGGGAUUCUCUCUCUUUCCCUCUCUCUCUCUCUCUCUCUGCCUUUCCCCUGCUCAUGCCGUCUCCCUCAAAAUAAAUAAACUUAAAAAAGA